This 73-nucleotide transfer RNA is filed under the name Acaryochloris sp. CCMEE 5410. RNAcentral describes it as "tRNA-Lys". It matches the Rfam family "tRNA". From Rfam's summary of the family: Transfer RNA (tRNA) molecules are approximately 80 nucleotides in length. Their secondary structure includes four short double-helical elements and three loops (D, anti-codon, and T loops). RNAcentral also lists the same sequence under 1 other name. Lineage: Bacteria; Bacillati; Cyanobacteriota; Cyanophyceae; Acaryochloridales; Acaryochloridaceae. The record is from RNAcentral.
GGGUUGUUAGCUCAGUUGGUAGAGCAGUCGCCUCUUAAGCGAAAGUGCGUAGGUUCGAUCCCUACACAGCCCA